AUAUUUUAAAGAAAAAAUUCUUUCUUAAUAUCUUCAAUAUUAAACUUUAAAAAAUAAGCUAUUAAAACAUA
RNAcentral lists this transfer RNA (71 nucleotides) under Cautires sp. UPOL A00105. Its description in RNAcentral is "tRNA-Phe". The record is from RNAcentral. Lineage: Eukaryota; Metazoa; Arthropoda; Insecta; Coleoptera; Lycidae.